RNAcentral lists this long non-coding RNA (597 nucleotides) under Sorghum bicolor (sorghum). RNAcentral's name for it is "long non-coding RNA (SBIC_LNC003753)". Lineage: Eukaryota; Viridiplantae; Streptophyta; Magnoliopsida; Poales; Poaceae. The record is from RNAcentral.
GACCAGCCAAAAUAAACAGCAGUAGAGUACAAACCAAGGUACACGAGCUAGGAGCAUGAUCCAUGUUCUCCAUGCUGACGUCAGAUUUCACUUCCUGUGCAUAAACAGAUCAGUAUACUACCACAGUUCGACAAUUCAAGACCAGCAAAAAUAAACAACAGUGAGUACAAACCAAGGUACACGAGCUAGGAGCAUGAUCCAUGUUCUCCAUGCUGACGUCAGAUUUCACUACCUGUGCAUAAAUGGAUCAGUAUGCUAGCACAAUUCGACAAUUCAAGACCUGCAGAAGCAACAAGGACUACAAACCAAGGUACACAGAGCAUGAUCCAUGUUCUCGAUGCUGUCCGCAAAUUUCACCACUUCUUCCCACCAUCCAGGAUCCUCCGCAUCAGCCUCCAUGCUGGAUUUACCGUUGAUGUUGCCAUUUUCAAUGUUCUUUUCCAUGACAUUGCCCUGAUAUUCUAUCUGGUCUGACUCCAUUAGCUCAGGAACCACAUCCCAAGGUACAGGACGCAAAGGAGAACGGUAACCUACUCCAAACAUUCAUGUAAUGACUAAGGAUAAUCUGCAAAUUGUUAACUGCUGCAACGAUGGCCC